Molecule: ribosomal RNA, 434 nt
Filed under: uncultured bacterium
Lineage: Bacteria
Description: partial 16S ribosomal RNA
Rfam family: Bacterial small subunit ribosomal RNA
Source: RNAcentral
ACGGGAGGCAGCAGUGGGGAAUAUUGCACAAUGGGGGAAACCCUGAUGCAGCAACGCCGCGUGAAGGAAGACGGUCUUCGGAUUGUAAACUUCUGUUCUUAGUGAAGAUAAUGACGGUAGCUAAGGAGCAAGCCACGGCUAACUACGUGCCAGCAGCCGCGGUAAUACGUAGGUGGCAAGCGUUGUCCGGAUUUACUGGGUGUAAAGGGUGCGCAGGCGGGACUGCAAGUUGGAUGUGAAAUACCGGAGCUCAACUCCGGAACUGCAUCCAAAACUGUAGUUCUUGAGUGGAGUAGAGGUAAGCGGAAUUCCGAGUGUAGCGGUGAAAUGCGUAGAUAUUCGGAGGAACACCAGUGGCGAAGGCGGCUUACUGGGCUCUAACUGACGCUGAGGCACGAAAGUGUGGGUAGCAAACAGGAUUAGAUACCCUGGUA